GGCGAACGGGUGAGUAACACGUGAGCAACCUGCCCUUGACUCUGGAAUAACAGCUGGAAACAGCUGCUAAUACCGGAUACGACCUUUUGCGACAUCGCAGGAGGUGGAAAGCUCCGACGGUCAAGGAUGGGCUCGCGGCCUAUCAGCUAGUUGGUGAGGUAACGGCUCACCAAGGCUUCGACGGGUAGCCGGCCUGAGAGGGCGACCGGCCACACUGGGACUGAGAUACGGCCCAGACUCCUACGGGAGGCAGCAGUGGGGAAUAUUGCACAAUGGGCGCAAGCCUGAUGCAGCAACGCCGCGUGCGGGAUGACGGCCUUCGGGUUGUAAACCGCUUUCAGUUCCGACGAAGCGCAAGUGACGGUAGGAACAGAAGAAGGACCGGCCAACUACGUGCCAGCAGCCGCGGUGAUACGUAGGGUCCGAGCGUUGUCCGGAAUUAUUGGGCGUAAAGGGCUUGUAGGCGGUUCGUCACGUCGGAAGUGAAAACUCAGGGCUUAACCCUGAGCCUGCUUCCGAUACGGGCAAACUAGAGGAAUGCAGGGGAGAACGGAAUUCCUGGUGGAGCGGUGGAAUGCGCAGAUAUCAGGAGGAACACCGGUGGCGAAGGCGGUUCUCUGGGCAUUUCCUGACGCUGAGAAGCGAAAGCGUGGGGAGCAAACAGGCUUAGAUACCCUGGUAGUCC
RNAcentral lists this ribosomal RNA (685 nucleotides) under uncultured bacterium. RNAcentral's name for it is "bacterial SSU rRNA". It matches the Rfam family "Bacterial small subunit ribosomal RNA", at positions 97 to 796 of the family's 1533-position model. The record is from RNAcentral.